CCCUGCCUACGGGAGGCAGCAGUGGGGAAUAUUGGACAAUGGGCGAAAGCCUGAUCCAGCCAUGCCGCGUGUGUGAAGAAGGCCUUCGGGUUGUAAAGCACUUUCAGCGAGGAAGAACGCCUUGGGAUUAAUACUCUCGAGGAAAGACAUCACUCGCAGAAGAAGCACCGGCUAACUCCGUGCCAGCAGCCGCGGUAAUACGGAGGGUGCAAGCGUUAAUCGGAAUUACUGGGCGUAAAGCGCGCGUAGGUGGCUAAGUCAGCCAGGUGUGAAAGCCCCGGGCUCAACCUGGGAACGGCAUCUGGAACUGCUUGGCUAGAGUGCAGGAGAGGAAGGUAGAAUUCCCGGUGUAGCGGUGAAAUGCGUAGAGAUCGGGAGGAAUACCAGUGGCGAAGGCGGCCUUCUGGACUGACACUGACACUGAGGUGCGAAAGCGUGGGUAGCAAACAGGAUUAGAUACCCUGGUAGUCCACGCCGUAAACGAUGUCAACUAGCCGUUGGGUCCCUUGAGGACUUAGUGGCGCAGCUAACGCAAUAAGUGACCG
RNAcentral lists this ribosomal RNA (545 nucleotides) under uncultured Halomonas sp. RNAcentral's name for it is "bacterial SSU rRNA". It matches the Rfam family "Bacterial small subunit ribosomal RNA", at positions 333 to 871 of the family's 1533-position model. The record is from RNAcentral. Lineage: Bacteria; Pseudomonadati; Pseudomonadota; Gammaproteobacteria; Oceanospirillales; Halomonadaceae.